Biomphalaria glabrata is the source of this 985-nucleotide long non-coding RNA. RefSeq lists it as uncharacterized. The transcript has 4 exons. NCBI's taxonomy places the organism in Eukaryota, Metazoa, Mollusca, Gastropoda, Planorbidae. The record is from RefSeq and is a predicted model, not a curated record.
UACAUACCUUUCUCUUUUUCCUUAUCAGGGUCUUUGGAGGAAAGCCGAAAAGAAGUUCUACUUAGACGCUUCAUGGUAUACAAUUUGAUUUAUAAUCCUCUUCUAAGAAUCCAGAUUUAGUCCAGCCCAUGAAAUCACUAGAACUAAGUGGGGAAUACUUGUAAAAACCUUUUCUUCAAUACUUAUGUCCAUUUUACUUUUUUUUUUCAAAAGAAAUUAUGCUUAAAAUACUAUUUUUGGUUGAUCUAACAGCAAAUGAAGGACCUCUUACUCAUGGAGCACUUGUCAGAAUGAAAUGGUAAAAAAACCAGGGCACAAGUGCAGGUACAUUCACACAUCAAGAACAUGCAUCUGGGAGAUUUUGAAAGAAAAAAUGUUACACAAAUAAUUGACAAUCAGGCAUCAGUGAAAAAGACUGGAAUUUUCAAAACUGUAUCCUAAAAAGAGGAUUCCUAGGCUUUUGAAUGAUACCACAUUGUCAACAAAUGAAAGUCGUGUUUAUUUUAAAAAUUUAUAGUAAAGUCAUAGGUACACAAAAUAUAAAAGGAAAUCAGCUUAUUGAGGCAAGUUUGGGCCCAUCCUGACGAUGUUAAAUGAAGUCACUUCAUGAUGCUUCAUGUGGCGCCAGACAUUAGUAAUUCUCGUUGAUAAUAUGAAGUAUAAAUGAUUUAUGCAUUGUUUAACAGCUUAUCUUUGAUCAACCUAGUGGAGAGAAUGCUAUCAAAGUGUUAUUUUACAUUAUAUUUAUAAAUAUAGAAAGUGGAGGAAGUUUCUACCAAACGGAAUUCUAGAAAAAGGAUCGAAGUCAAUUUUCAAACAAUUGAAUUAGCUGUGAAUUGAUGUUAGCUGCAUGUGAGGUGAAAUAAUCAAAUUAAAAACCAUAUAAUUAUAAUGGGGUAGAUGUGUUCCAAAUUUCAAGCUUCUAUCUAUUAUGGUUAUAAAGUUAUGACGAGAUAAAGAUGAAAAUUCAUUUUUUCGAUCACAG